RNAcentral lists this long non-coding RNA (1670 nucleotides) under Lactuca sativa (garden lettuce). RNAcentral describes it as "long non-coding RNA (LSAT_LNC000683)". Lineage: Eukaryota; Viridiplantae; Streptophyta; Magnoliopsida; Asterales; Asteraceae. The record is from RNAcentral.
GAGUAUUAGCCUAGUGGUAUCAACAUAAUUUCAAGUCUCAAGUUGGGAUGAAAUGUGUAGAUUUAAUAUUAGAACAACGAGUGCAUGUGUAAACCGUUAAAAUAAUUAAUUUUCAUUAUGAUCCCUAUUUAUGUCAAUUAAUUAUUUUAACGUUAUGUAUUUUACUGACACUUAUUUUCAUUCCUUUUUGGUCCUUACGUCCAUGAGUCCAUUGUUAGUUUUUUACAUCGACUUUAGACAUCGAAUAUUACCGAAUGUCAAAUAUACCCUUAAGUUUCAUAUAUAAUUUUUGAGACUAACAGAGUGUUAAUGCUCUGUUUUAUCAUUCGAUGUGAUAAAUAGUUUUAUUAUUUAAUAGUUAGCUUUUAUUAUUAUUUUAGUUAUUUCUAUAUUGACAUAUUUCCACGAUAGGCUUCAAUUUUGCCAUUGAUGCUGCAAUGCAUUUUAGACCUCAAGACUAUCUUGUAUACCAAAUCUCCACGGUAUUUUAUAUGACAUUAUGUAACNNNNNNNNNNNNAUAAGUUCAACAAGAUAAAAUAAAACAGGUUGACAAUGUUUGAUUGGACAAGGAUUGGGACCUAUGUCAUUGUGACAAAAAUAGUCCUGGAAAACUUGUCCAUUCUUGUGUAACAAAUGCAGCCUAAUUGACUUAUAUUUACAUGAAUCUUGAUUUUGUUGUUGGAACACAAUACAGUAGGGUUUGGAUGUGGUGCAUGGGUGUUAGGGUGCAAAGUCACUCUUGGAUGUAGUGUUUUAGGCUUACCCUCUUGUAUGUGUAAAUAGGUUGAGUCUUUCCUAUAAAUAGGAAGUGAGUGACUCUUAUUAUGAAAUGAACAAUUUGGAGUGUUAGACUAGAGAGAGAAACUUUGCACAAAUCCAUUUGUAUAUUCUUUCUAGAUCUAAUAUGAGCUUACACAUAUUUAAUUACUCCUUGUGUUCUUGAAUUUACAUGAUGAUUCACUAGAUCUUUCUAAUUCUGCACAUGUCAUCAUAAUCUACACCACUACAUUUCGUAUCAGAGCGGGUGUUCUUGAUUGGAUCAAGAAUUGAUCCUUGAUGGCUAUCUUGAUUUGGUGAUUCUUCAUGUUCUUAUUGAUCUUCGUGUUUUGAGAGUGUUCUGUGUUCUAGAAAUCGAUUUUUUCCUUGAUUUGAUCCAUAAUUCGAUUUUCUCUCUCUAGAAUACUUGUUUGUAUCACUUUUUCUCUCUAGAAAACUCAUUCAAAAUCACUUUCUCUCUCUAGAAAUUUUCAAGUUCUUGUGAUCAUGGUGAAUUUGCAUUAUGAUUCUUGGGUUGUGAUCGUUGAAGAUGUCAAAUACAAAGUCAAUGAAGAUCAGUUUUAUGGGUUAUUGUUAAACCGGUUGAUUUCAUGGGAUACUAUGGUUUCUUAUGGAGGCUUGAAAGAUGAUCAUGGAAUGUUAAUUUUUCAACGACUUGGGGAGAUUGAAUUUUUAAUCACAAUCGCAUUGUACAUGUUAAAUCGUAAUGGAAAUCAGAAGGAAGGAAAAGAAAGAGAUUUGUUUAAUAAGAAAUACAUUUCUCUUAUUGAAGACCCAAAUGAUCUUCUUGCUCUUAAGGUUUUUGAAGUUCAAAACAAUGGAGUUCAAUGUGAUGUUCUUGAGGUUCAAGAAAAAGGAGUUCAAGUUGAUUUUCAAGAUGAAAUUUUUUUUU